Molecule: ribosomal RNA, 253 nt
Filed under: uncultured bacterium
Lineage: Bacteria
Description: partial 16S ribosomal RNA
Rfam family: Bacterial small subunit ribosomal RNA
Source: RNAcentral
UACGUAGGGGGCAAGCGUUGUCCGGAUUUAUUGGGCGUAAAGAGCGUGUAGGCGGCCAGACAGGUCAGCUGUGAAAACUCGAGGCUCAACCUCGAGACGUCGGUUGAAACCGUCUGGCUAGAGUCCGGAAGAGGAGAGUGGAAUUCCCGGUGUAGCGGUGAAAUGCGCAGAUAUCAGGAGGAACACCAAUGGCGAAGGCAGCUCGCUGGGACGUGACUGACGCUGAGACGCGAAAGCGUGGGGAGCAAACAGG